RNAcentral lists this long non-coding RNA (871 nucleotides) under Homo sapiens (human). Its description in RNAcentral is "non-protein coding lnc-LGMN-1:1". The record is from RNAcentral. Lineage: Eukaryota; Metazoa; Chordata; Mammalia; Primates; Hominidae.
AUGGAGAAAGCGGGGGAAAGAGCCCCCAGACACCAGUGCAAGGCGCUCACCUGGUGAAGGCCUUGCCCAACACUGUGGGUGGAGGUCAGACCUGUUUUUCCAUACCAAUUGCAAGAACCAGCCCCUGCUCUCCUACUGGUCUGGGCUAGAGUGAACGCUCUCUCCUUCCCGGCAGCUGCCCCAACAAAGGGAGCCGCCUGGUCAUUGGUCUUGGAUUAUUCAGGUUUCCAAGGAAGCCAUCGGUCAGGCCCAGAUGAUUCAGAGAAUUCAGUAAGACACGACAGCAGAUGGCUCUGGAGGCCCAGACCCCCAGUUCCCGGACAAGGGGGCCAAAGAGCCGCUGGGGAGACGAGGCUGCUGCCCCAGGGGAAGGGGCUCCCCGGCGGGGCUGUCUGAGGCUGGCCUGGGGAUGCCUGCUCAGCUUCAUGUCUGCCUUUCCUGGCCUUGUUCUUCCUCCGGGCAACAGUUCCCAGCCCGAGAACCCAUGCUUUGUCCAGAGCCGUUCUCCAUCCAGGACUGGGUCUGGCAUUUGAGAAACCGCAGGGAGGCCCAGGCUGGCUCUGCUGCCCCAGCUCCUCAGCUGCCUGUCGUGGGCCCUUACAGGGGUCAGGGAUACCACUGCAUUCUGAAGAGCCAAGCAGGCCUUACGCCUUUCCCAGAAGGCAUGGGAAAGCGCCCAGAAACGUGGCUGUGGUUUUUCUCUUUCCUGGUGUAGUUUCCCUCCACCCCUGCCCCACCUAAGCAAACCCCAUCUCCCAUACUGACUCUCCCUCCUCUCUUAGGGCACCUGUGGUCAAAGGUAAGAGAGUGACAAUUUAGAGGGGGGACAUUGUGAGAGGGUGUGUGUGUGUGUGUGUGUGUGUGUGUGUGU